UACAGAGGGUGCGAGCGUUAAUCGGAAUUACUGGGCGUAAAGCGCGCGUAGGCGGUUUUGCAAGUCGGGUGUGAAAUCCCCAGGCUUAACCUGGGAACUGCAUUCGAGACUGCAUUGCUAGAGUAUGGGAGAGGGAAGUGGAAUUUCCGGUGUAGCGGUGAAGUGCGUAGAUAUCGGAAGGAACAUCAGUGGCGAAAGCGACUUCCUGGACCAAUACUGACGCUCAUGUGCGAAAGCGUGGGGAGCAAACAGG
Molecule: ribosomal RNA, 253 nt
Filed under: uncultured bacterium
Lineage: Bacteria
Description: partial 16S ribosomal RNA
Rfam family: Bacterial small subunit ribosomal RNA
Source: RNAcentral